GGGGAUGUAGCUCAAUGGUAGAGCUUCAGUCUUCCAAACUGACGGCGCGGGUUCGAUUCCCGUCAUCCCCUCCA
Molecule: transfer RNA, 74 nt
Filed under: Microbacterium aurum
Lineage: Bacteria; Bacillati; Actinomycetota; Actinomycetes; Micrococcales; Microbacteriaceae
Also listed under: 2 other names
Description: tRNA-Gly
Rfam family: tRNA
About the family: Transfer RNA (tRNA) molecules are approximately 80 nucleotides in length.
Source: RNAcentral